CGCGGCUGAAGUCUGCAGCUGCUCGGUCGCCUGUUGAACCGUAACACCGGAGAAGUCGGGAUCCAGAAAUGGCAGCGCACGAGGACUUCUUCCUGGGCAUCCGCAAGAUCCCGUACUCACCCAACGCCGGGCCCGCAGAUGUGCUGUGCUUCAGACACUACAAUGCGGAGGAGGUGCUGAUGGGGAGGAAGAUGGAGGACUGGCUGAGGUUCUCCGUGUGCUACUGGCACUCCUUCUGCGGCACUGGAGCUGAUCCCUUUGGGGCUCCGACGCUGCACCGGCCCUGGAAUGAAGGCGCUCCGAUGGACUCCGCCAAGAAGCGACUGCGGGCUGCUUUUGAGUUUUUCACCAAGCUCGGUGUGAAAUACUACACAUUUCAUGACCGGGAUAUGGCUCCUGAGGGCUCCACCCUGGAGGAGUCCAACAGGAAUCUGGAUGAAAUAACAGACCUGGCCCUCCAGCUGCAGAGCCAGACUGGAAUCCAGGUGCUGUGGGUCACCUGCAACCUCUUUGCCCACCAGAGGUACAUGAAUGGUGCGGCCACCAACCCGGACUGUCACGUUCUGGCCUACGCUGGCGCUCAGCUCAAGAAGGGGCUCGACACCGCCAAGAAGCUGGGUGCAGAGAAUUUCGUGUUUUGGGGAGGACGGGAAGGGUUCCUCUCCGUCCACAACACGGACGUUGCUCUGGAACUGAAGCACAUGGCCAACUUCUUCAAAAUGGCCGUCAAGUACAAAGACAAGAUUGGGUUGAAGUGUCAGUUUCUAAUCGAGCCCAAGCCCAAGGAGCCCUGCAAACACCAGUAUGACUACGAUGCUAUGAGCGUCAUCGGAUUCCUCAAGCACUACGGUCUGGAGAGUCACUUCAAGCUGAACAUUGAGCCCAACCACACCACGCUGGCAGGACACUCGUACGAACACGAUGUUGUCAUGGCGUCUGCGCUCGGGAUGCUGGGAUCCGUUGACGCUAACACGGGCUCCCCUGACCUGGGCUGGGACACAGACCAGUUCCCCAUGGACAUCAGGAACACCACCAUGGUCAUGAAGGUCAUCGUUGAACAAGGAGGUCUGCAGCCCGGAGGCCUGAACUUUGAUGCGAAGGUGCGCCGGGAGUCCACGGACCUGGAGGACCUGUUCAUCGCUCACAUCGGGGCCAUGGACGCCUUCGCCAGAGGACUCAGAAAUGCUGUUCGCAUCAUUACGGACGGGCUGAUCUCUGGCAUGGUGAAGGAGCGUUACUCAAGUUUCAGUCACGGCCUUGGACAGAGAGUGGAUGAAGGUUCUGCCUCCUUGGAGGAAAUGGAGGCUUUCAUCAAACAGAACGGAGAGCCAGAUGUUACUUCAGGCAAGCAAGAAAAAUAUGAAUCCAUCUUCAAUCAAUACAUAUAAUGAACGCAUCACCCUUCUGUGUCUAUGUGACGUGAUCAGAAAGUUACAAAAG
This is a long non-coding RNA of Gasterosteus aculeatus (three-spined stickleback), 1440 nucleotides long. Lineage: Eukaryota; Metazoa; Chordata; Actinopteri; Perciformes; Gasterosteidae. The record is from Ensembl.